Molecule: long non-coding RNA, 5843 nt
Filed under: Octopus vulgaris (common octopus)
Lineage: Eukaryota; Metazoa; Mollusca; Cephalopoda; Octopoda; Octopodidae
Source: RNAcentral
CACAUAUAUACAUACACAUAUAUAUACAUACAUAUAUAUACACAUAAAUAUAUAUACAUACACAUAUAUAUAUAUAAUAGAAAUAUUAAAAUUACUAAGUCUCUCUAAGUAGUGUGGAGCGACUGACCUCCCUUGUUCGAAGGUUAUAUGGAUACAGUUUGUGUAUCAAAUAGCUAACUUAAGGCGAUGGCCUCAUGGAGCUAAUAAGCGGACAGCUUUUUUCUUAUUUUUAUAAGAAUGCCAUAUUAGUAUGGCGAUAACUAUAUAUAUAUAUAUAUAUAUAUAUAUUCUGGUAUCCAUAGUCUAUGACACUCACAGUUAAAGAUAAAAUGUUUAUAUCAUUAUUAUUAUUAUUAUUACUGUACAUUUAGUAUGUGUAGCAAUUUAUUCAUAAUGUGGGUGUGUAAUGUAUUACUGCAUUAUAUUCUGGUAUAGUGUUUUAUUUUAAGAUUUUACAUCUCCACUGACUUCUUAACUAUGUGAUGCUUUGUUGUUGGCACUUUAACCAUUUUACCGCUAUUCUUAACAAUAGAUUGUUAUAAAAUAACUGUUGCAAUAAAAAUAGCCUAAGCAAUAUUUUUAAACAAUGUAUGUUACCAAAUUAACAAACAAACCAAAAAAUCUCUUUAUUCUCUAAAAUUAAAACAUACUCAUAAAUAAAUAUAUAUGCAUGUAUAAAGAAAAUAUUUCUAAACAAAACAAAAGGAAAGAACUAUUGGAGAAAACCCAUGGUUUAAUCCAUAUUAGUGUGACUGACUGUGUGUGCAAUUUAGGUUUAAUUCUCUGUUGAAUUAUUCCACUUUGAAUAUUUGUCCUAUCAUUAAUUUUUAGGUGUACUCAAAAGCAUAGGGAAGAAUUUGCCCUAUGACAUUAUAUAAAAAUACAACCUAGUCUCUACCAGGUUGAAUUUAACAUACUAGAUAAAGACAAAAACCUAACCUCAACCAGCUUAGCUUACCUUCUGACAAACUACAUAAAGUAUGUAGUUUGUCAGAAGGCUUUUAUUGAGUUGACUUGCCUCUUGAGCACCCAACGUAAAGAAAUCUUUCAGUAAUGAUUUUAUAAACCAUUAAAUAUUGCAGGAUGAUUUAGGGUGGACAAGUUCCCAGUCCUAGAAUAAAACUAAUCAGUGAUGAUAGAAAUAUUACAAGAUAGAUGAAGAUACAUUUAAAAAUUAUUAAAUAUUUAAUUCUUAAACAGGAUCGGUAAUAAAGAUCCACAGAUGAAAGGGUUUUCAAAUGUAAUCACUAAUUGUUCUACAGUGUUAUCCUAAGUUAACUUGAUUACCUAUAGUUAUACGAAUAUAAUAAAUUAAGAAUGAGUGUACUGAAAAAUUCCUUUUGAAUGGUUUUGUUGUGGUAUCUUUGUUUCUGCCUCUUCUUACAUGAAGAUAUAUAUAAAAAUAAAAUCUUCCGUCAUAAAUAACAUGUGCGUAUGUCAGAAGAGGAGAAACAUGAAAAUAGUAACAUAAAUCAUGCUGACAAUUAGAAUUACACAGAAGAAUUAUAUUCAAAAAGCUGCCUUCAAAUAGGAAAAUAUGGUAGAUAUAGAAUUAUAGAGAGAGUAAUAAAAAUUCUGAUUAAAUGUUAGAAACUAAUACAAACUAUUUGUAACUGUUAAAUCAUGAUACUUGAUGAGACAGAUGUAGAGUGAGAGGAAUUUUGAGUAAUUUAGGGUACACAGAUAUUAUUUUAAUCUAAUAUGUUAAUAAGUAAGUUAUAGCUACAUGGAUCCUUGAAGCUAACAGUGAAGAACAGUUUCCUUCAACAUUAAAUUCAUAAAAGUUUGGAUAUGACAGUAAAAUUUUUGCGACUGGACUGCUAAGAGAUAUGAUGGAAUAUGAAUUCCUGAUCCAUGACCUGGAAGUUUUAUACCUUAUCAAAUUUAGUGUUCCACACCUUAAGAAGCAGAGUAAUUUGGGUAUUUUCUUAAAAUUGCUAAAAUCAAAAGUAUAUAAAAGAUGACAUAGUGCCUCCUCUUAUAGAGAAUCUAUAAUUUCAUUCUACGGUAAUUGGUCUUUUGUUUGGUUCCUCUCUUUGGAAAUGGUAUUAUGUGUUCACAUCAACAAAACAUGUGUUCACAUCCACAAAAUAAUGUGAUAACAUAUUUGUUUCUUUUACUUGUAGGAAGUACAAGCACAAAAUUAAGUCAGGUAUUGGAUAAGUUUAGUCAAAUGAUGAACUUUGUAUAUUGUUAUCUAUUUCAUCAAUUCAAGAUAGACUAAAGGUGAAGUCAACAUUGGUAGUUAUUAGGAGAAUCUGAACUCAGAACUGAGAGGGAUGAACUAGUUACUGCAUAGAAUUCAGUUUCAUGAGCUAGUCUGUUACUAUCUCCAAAACCUUUUAUUCAUUAGUCAAAACAUCAAGUGACAAGAUCAGCUCAGAAUAUUUUUCUCCUGACUGUUUCUUCGAAUAUAAUUCCAUUCACAUCUAGGAUGCUUUAUAGGAAUAUUAUAUUAACCUCAGUACUUAACUGGUGCUUUAAUUUAUAGAACCCAGAAGCCUGGAAGGCAAAGUUGACCUCAGAACAUAGAAGAUACUUCAGGUAUUUUGUCAGAGGUCUUAAUGAUUCUGCCAUAAACACCAAGGUAAUUAUAUCAUUUUAAGCUGCAUCUGUACAUCCUUUAGAUUGCACAGCUAUAGUUUAAACUCUAUUUUUCUUCAGGCUAAAACCAAGACAUCUUGCUGAUGAUGUACAAGUCAUUAGAAUGUCUGUAUGCAUAGUUACAAUAAACAUUUCAGUGCACCAUUUGUUAUGAAUUGUAGAGCCCCAUCUCUCUUAGUUUAUGCAUUCUUAUAUAAUCUUGACAAUUAAAUACCUUUCUGAUCUUUUCUGGUUGUUGGAUAUGAAUUCAAAAGCCAUAUUUUAAAAUCUCUGCCUAAAUUCAUCAAUCCUAAACAUGUGCAUAUGAUCUGGAAAUUAGUAAAUAAGGUUAUUGGAUUGUGGUCAUGCUGGGGCACCACCUUGUAGGUUAGAGUUGAUUACACCUUCCUUAGUACUUUUUUUAAUUUUAUUUUAUUUUCAGCCUUGAGAGACAGUAAAACUAAGCAGGGUUUGAACUCAGAAUAUAAUGGGAUAUAACUAAAUACACAAUGUAUCUUGUCUGAUACGCUAUCAAUUCUGUCAUCAACACUGUUUUCUUUUUAUUUUAUUUUAUCUUAAUGAAAAUUGAAAUUAUUUUCCUUAAGAAAUUUGGGAUGUGAACUGAUCAGUUUUAGUUUUUGAUAUUAAUGUUUGUUUGAGAGGAACUGACACCAACAGGAAUUGAUACUGAUGUGACUCUAAAGCCACCUGAAAAAUAGACAAAUCAACUUUUACUUUAACCACUCUCAGCAAGAUGAAUUAGCUACACAAUUUCAUAUCUUUGAUGAAAAUCCUCAUAUGUUUCUCUAAUGGUUUUAAGAACAAAUUAAUCAGUCAUAUCUAUACUCUAACUGUGAGAAAUAUUCUACACAAAACCAGAAUUAUGUCCUAAAUAUUAAUUCUUUCAUCUUUUUUUUUUCCUGAAAAUGUUUAUGUCUAUAUUAUAUCUACCAUAUAUGUAGUUCUGAUAUUUUUAACAGUAUGCAGAAACAAAAAUCCUUGUAAACUAUACAAUGAAUUAAAAAGGUUUCCAUUGAAGAAUCAUCAUCUUCAUGUACUCUACAAUCUAUGGAUAAAAAACAAAAUAAAAGUUAUUGUUGUUGUCAUAUUUUCAACAAUUACAUGUGCGUUUCUACUGUACCUCCAGGUGCACUUCUGGGUUUCUGAGGUAUGUACAACAUUGUCUUUUGAAGAUGAUUAAUUGUGCUACACCAGUUAGUUUUGUUUAGUCUGCUUUGUUGCAUUUGGUUUGUUGUUUCUGGUUUAAUUUUAACAUUUCAUUUUAUUGUGUAAAGUCUGUGGAUUAUUAAUUACUUUUGUCAGUAUUUAUAAUAAAGGUUACACAAAAAAAGCUAAAAAUAAACUGACUUCACUGUUGGCUAAUUCACAAUCAACAUCAAACAGAACGAUCAACUGUAAAAAACUAAAUCUAAGCCUAAUUCAUUGUGUGUGUGUGUGUAUGUGUGUAUAUAUAUGUAUGUAUUUAUAUAUGGAUGCUAGACCUCUUUCUUAGUGAUGUGGUAAUAUGUAACCCAAUACAACCUGUUGCUUGGUUCAGCCAGCAGUGACUAAACCUGCUACCCUAUCAAGCCUGCUUGGUAAGGAGGGUGGUUUUCGUUGGACACCCUGCAAGACAAUGAGUCAAAGGGUAGGUGAACUCAGUAGCACCAAUGGCCAUCCAACAGCUGAAUUUGAGAGACCCUUAGUCUUCAUGGAGACAUUUCUCUAGUAGAAGGGAAACAGUGAUGUAACACUUGCAACUUCAUUUGCAUCCAAUGAUGUAGACUAAUUCUUUUUGGGUAAAUAUAUGUUUUGAGAGUUGGACCAGCUCUAUGCAAAACCUUUCUUCAUUUCAAAAGGGUUCAAGCAUGAGCUUCACUUGAUAUUUAAAGAUCUGUAUUAUUUGUUACAUACUGUGGCUGGUCAUAACGGUAAAAGUCAAAACACUCACUGAAAAAUUCCAUGAUGGAAUAAAGGUGUCAACAUGAGCGGUAAGCUCUCUGAGCACCUACUGCCACAUUCAUGCUGCUCAUGUUUAAGAGAAAGGUCAAGAAGUCACACUGCUUGAAAUUGAAUUGCAGACAUCAUAUAUAUAUAUAUAUAUGUGCGUGUGCACACACACACACACACACACACCAAGAGAGCGAAAAAGAGAGAGACAGUAUGAGUGUAUGUGUGUACAUGUGUGAGCAAUUGCUGUUUAUAUAUUUUUAGGGAAUGGUUGGUAGUGUAAUCAAUGAAUAUAAAUAGAUAGAGAAAUUCAUAUUAAUCUGAUAGUCAAUAAUAAACAGAAGAAUAAAAGAAACCUAGAAAGCAAACGCUAAAACAUUUAACUUCCUAUAUGGAUAUUUGAAAUCAGACUGAUCUCUAUCUUAUGUUUUUAAUUGUUUAUUUUUAUUAAUUUGUCCACUUUUUGUAUGUUUUUUUAAAAAUAUUUCUUGUUUAAAAUGGGGAAGACAAGAAAAAGAGAAAUUUUUGAUGAAACAUGUUUGAAUUUCACCAAUGUCAUCUCAUUCCUGUCAGUUAUUGAUUCAAAUAUUUUUUUUUUUAUUAAACACAGAUCAUCUUCAAUAUAACAUUCAUAAAACAAAUAAUAGCUCAAAAUUUGAAACAAUUUUAUGUCGUGGUUAAAGAUGGAGCAAUUUCAUUGAAUUAAUUCCAUUGUAACCUUUUUGAAAAGAACUGUAAGCACAAUUUCAAGAGAUUCGUUGAAAUAAAACAUUUCUUUCAGUGUCCUGUUUUCCAUAUUACUUCUCAAUCAUUUCAAUUUCCUUUUUUCUUUUUCUAAAUCCAAAAAAUGGUUUAAAUGGAGAAAUCUUAAGUUUUCAGAGAUAUUAUUUGGAAAAAAAGAAAAAAAAAAAAAGGUUUCCAUUGAUUUCCUUUUUGCUUUGGUUUGAUUUUGAGUUUCUGGUUGGACAAGUUGCUCUCAGCUGAGAAAGCACUCACUGUGAUAUAAAUGUUUUCAUACAUAGUAUGAACUGGACUGAAUGACUAAAGUAAAUAUCUUUUCUUUGGUUUUUUUUUCCCCCUAUUAAUUUGAAAACUUCAAAUAAUCCACAAGCUUAAAAGAAAAGGAUUAAAAAAAUAUUUCUUUUUUUCUUCAUUUUUUUCUUUUUAUAUAUAUAUAUGGUUUGCAAACAGAAUUUCAUGACAAAAAUUCUGAAACUUACUAAAAUGUACAAAUUGUACAGUCAACAAAACAUUAUUUUUCUCUACCAAAGAAUAAAACCAAAUUAAAAAAAAAAUUAUAAUUAAAAAAA